CCUGGUUGAUCCUACCAGUAGUCAUAUGCUUGUCUCAAAGAUUAAACCAUGCAAGUGUAAGUAUGAAAUAAUUUAAACUAUGAAAUUGUAAAUGGCAAAUUAAAUCAGUUAUAGUUUGUUUGAUGGUAUCUACUACUUUAUAACUGUAGUACUUCUAGAGCUAAUACAUGUAACAAAUUGGAAGGGAUGCAUUUAUUGGAUAAAAGGUCAACGGGAGGUUUACCCAUUGCUCUAAUGAUUCAUGAUAACUUGACGAAUCACAUAGCCUUUAUGCCAAUAUGCAUCAUUCAAAUUUUUGCCAUAUCAAAUUUCAAUAGUAGGAUAAUGGCCUACUAGGGUGGUGAUAGGUGGCAAAAUUAAGGUUCAAUUCUAGAGAUGGAGCCUAUUAAAUGCCACCAUAUCCAAGGAGGCAACAGGUGCACAAAUUAACUAAUCCUAACAUAUAGAGGUAGUGACAAUAAAUAACUAUACUAGGCUCUAUGAGUCUGGUAAUUAGAAUGAGUACAAUUUAAAUCCCUUAAUAAUGAUUCAUUAAAAGGCAAGUCUGGUGUAAGCAGCCAUGGUAAUUCUAACUCAAAUAAUGUAUAUUUAAGUUGUUGCGAUUAAAAAGCUCAUAAUUGGAGCUAAGGUUGGGUGGUUCGAUCCACUUCACGGUGAGCACUAGUUUACUUAACCUUACUACCGAUGAUGCACUCCUAGCCUUAUCUGGUUGGGCCAUUCCUUAGGUGCUAUUACUUUGAAAAAAUUAGAGUGUUUAAAGCAAGCCAAUGCUUGCAUACAUUAGAAUGGGAUAACAUCAUAGGAUUUUGGCCCUAUUGUAUUAGCUUUUGAGAUCGGAGUAAUGAUUAACAAGGACAAUCAGGGGCAUUCAUAUUACAUAGUCAAAGGUGAAAUUCUUGUAUUUAUGAAAGAUGAGUAAUUGCAAAAGUAUUUACCAAAGAUGUUUUCAUUAAUCAAGAACAAAAGUUGGGGCCUUGAAAAUGAUCAGAUACCAUCCUAAUCUUAACCAUAAAUGAUGUCAACCAAGGAUUGAUAGAUGUUAAUCUUAGGACUCCAUCAGAACAUUAUGAGAAAUCAAUGUCAUUAAGUUCCAGGGGGAGAAUGGUCGUAAGGCUAAAACUUAAAAGAAUUGAUGGAAGGGCACAACUAUGGUGGAGCCUAUAGCUUAAUUUGACUAAAUGUAGGGAAACUUACUAGGUUUAAACAUAGUAAGGAUUGAUAGACUAAAAGCUAUUUCUUGAUUCUAUGGGUGGUGAUGCAUGGCCGUUCUUAGUUGGUGGAGCAAUUUUUCUGGUUAAUUCCAUUAACGAAUGAAACCUCAGCCUACUAACUAGCUACACAAAAUUGAUCCUUUGUGGCUAGCCUUUUAGAGCGACUAUGGCCACUUAGGCUAAGGAAGUUUGAGGCAAUAAUAGGUCUAGGAUGCCCUUAGAUAUUCUGGGCCACACGCGCACUACACUAAUGUGUUCAAUGAGUUUAUAGUCUUGGCUGACAUAGGUAAUCUUUAAAAUUUCAUAAUGAUUGGGAUAAAUCAUUGCAAUUGUUGCUCUUCAACGAGGAAUUCCUAGAAGUGCACAUUAUUAGCUUGCAUUGACCACGUUCUUACCCUUUGUAUACAUCACCCAUUAUUUUUAUCGAUUGAAUGGUCUGAUGAAGUAUUCGGAUCAUAGUAACAAUGAUGAUUCAUAACCUGCAAUGUUGUGAGAAGUCUAUUGAACCUUAUCAUAUAGAGGAAGGGGAAGUCAUAACAAGGUUUUCAUAGGUGAACCUGUAAAAG
This 1777-nucleotide ribosomal RNA is filed under the name Durio zibethinus. Its description in RNAcentral is "SSU rRNA". It matches the Rfam family "Eukaryotic small subunit ribosomal RNA". Lineage: Eukaryota; Viridiplantae; Streptophyta; Magnoliopsida; Malvales; Malvaceae. The record is from RNAcentral.